RNAcentral lists this ribosomal RNA (425 nucleotides) under uncultured bacterium. Its description in RNAcentral is "partial 16S ribosomal RNA". It matches the Rfam family "Bacterial small subunit ribosomal RNA", at positions 354 to 796 of the family's 1533-position model. The record is from RNAcentral.
GUGGGGAAUAUUGGGCAAUGGGGGAAACCCUGACCCAGCAACGCCGCGUGAAGGAAGAAGGCUUUCGGGUUGUAAACUUCUUUUAUGAGGGAAGAUAAUGACGGUACCUCAUGAAUAAGCCACGGCUAACUACGUGCCAGCAGCCGCGGUAAUACGUAGGUGGCAAGCGUUGUCCGGAUUUACUGGGUGUAAAGGGCGUGUAGGCGGGACUGCAAGUCAGAUGUGAAAUUUCGGGGCUCAACCCCGAAACUGCAUUUGAAACUGUGGUUCUUGAGUAUCGGAGAGGCAGGCGGAAUUCCUAGUGUAGCGGUGAAAUGCGUAGAUAUUAGGAGGAACACCAGUGGCGAAGGCGGCCUGCUGGACGACAACUGACGCUGAGGCGCGAAAGCGUGGGGAGCAGACAGGAUUAGAUACCCGAGUAGUCC